AUACGGAGGAUCCGAGCGUUAUCCGGAUUUAUUGGGUUUAAAGGGUGCGCAGGCGGCCAUUUAAGUCAGCGGUUAAAUCGUGGGGCUCAACCCCAUUCUGCCGUUGAUACUGGGUGGCUUGAUUGCGGUCGAGGUUGGCGGAAUUCGUUGUGUAGCGGUGAAAUGCAUAGAUAUGACGAAGAACACCGAUUGCGUAGGCAGCUGACCAACCCGCAAAUGACGCUCAUGCACUAAAGUGCGCGGAUCGAACAGGAUUAGAUACCCUUGUAGUCCGCACAGUAAACGAUGAAUACUUGUUUUCGGCGAUAUAAUGUCGGAGGCAAAGCGAAAGCGAUAAGUAUUCCACCUGGGGAGUACGCCGUCAACGGUGAAACUCAAAGGAAUUGACGGGG
Molecule: ribosomal RNA, 392 nt
Filed under: uncultured bacterium
Lineage: Bacteria
Description: partial 16S ribosomal RNA
Rfam family: Bacterial small subunit ribosomal RNA
Source: RNAcentral